Molecule: ribosomal RNA, 1447 nt
Filed under: uncultured organism
Description: SSU rRNA
Rfam family: Bacterial small subunit ribosomal RNA
Source: RNAcentral
UGAACGCUAGCUACAGGCUUAACACAUGCAAGUCGAGGGGCAGCAUGGUCUUAGCUUGCUAAGGCCGAUGGCGACCGGCGCACGGGUGAGUAACACGUAUCCAACCUGCCGUCUACUCUUGGACAGCCUUCUGAAAGGAAGAUUAAUACAAGAUGGCAUCAUGAGUCCGCAUGUUCACAUGAUUAAAGGUAUUCCGGUAGACGAUGGGGAUGCGUUCCAUUAGAUAGUAGGCGGGGUAACGGCCCACCUAGUCUUCGAUGGAUAGGGGUUCUGAGAGGAAGGUCCCCCACAUUGGAACUGAGACACGGUCCAAACUCCUACGGGAGGCAGCAGUGAGGAAUAUUGGUCAAUGGGCGAGAGCCUGAACCAGCCAAGUAGCGUGAAGGAUGACUGCCCUAUGGGUUGUAAACUUCUUUUAUAAAGGAAUAAAGUCGGGUAUGGAUACCCGUUUGCAUGUACUUUAUGAAUAAGGGUUGGCUAACUCCGUGCCAGCAGCCGCGGUAAUACGGAGGAUCCGAGCGUUAUCCGGAUUUAUUGGGUUUAAAGGGAGCGUAGAUGGAUGUUUAAGUCAGUUGUGAAAGUUUGCGGCUCAACCGUAAAAUUGCAGUUGAUACUGGAUAUCUUGAGUGCAGUUGAGGCAGGCGGAAUUCGUGGUGUAGCGGUGAAAUGCUUAGAUAUCACGAAGAACUCCGAUUGCGAAGGCAGCCUGCUAAGCUGCAACUGACAUUGAGGCUCGAAAGUGUGGGUAUCAAACAGGAUUAGAUACCCUGGUAGUCCACACGGUAAACGAUGAAUACUCGCUGUUUGCGAUAUACUGCAAGCGGCCAAGCGAAAGCGUUAAGUAUUCCACCUGGGGAGUACGCCGGCAACGGUGAAACUCAAAGGAAUUGACGGGGGCCCGCACAAGCGGAGGAACAUGUGGUUUAAUUCGAUGAUACGCGAGGAACCUUACCCGGGCUUAAAUUGCAGAUGAAUUACGGUGAAAGCCGUAAGCCGCAAGGCAUCUGUGAAGGUGCUGCAUGGUUGUCGUCAGCUCGUGCCGUGAGGUGUCGGCUUAAGUGCCAUAACGAGCGCAACCCUUGUUGUCAGUUACUAACAGGUUCCGCUGAGGACUUGACAAGACUGCCAUGUAAGAGUGAGGGAAGUGGGGAGACGUCAAAUCAGCAGGGCCCUUUACGUCGGGGGCUACACACGUGUUACAAGGGGGGUACAGAGGGCCGCUACCACGCGAGUGGAUGCCAAUCCCCAAAACCUCUCUCAGUUCGGACUGGAGUCUGCAACCCGACUCCACGAAGCUGGAUUCGCUAGUAAUCGCGCAUCAGCCACGGCGCGGUGAAUACGUUCCCGGGCCUUGUACACACCGCCCGUCAAGCCAUGGGAGCCGGGGGUACCUGAAGUGCGUAACCGCGAGGAGCGCCCUAGGGUAAAACUGGUGACUGGGGCUAAG